Molecule: long non-coding RNA, 492 nt
Organism: Chinchilla lanigera (long-tailed chinchilla)
Lineage: Eukaryota; Metazoa; Chordata; Mammalia; Rodentia; Chinchillidae
Exons: 3
Source: RefSeq, a predicted model, not a curated record
CAUAUCAAAAACUUGAUACCACGGAAGAUAAUACACAAAGUACAGAAAUAGCAAUAUAAUAAUACCUUGUAACUUGUAUGUAGCAUUUACACUUUCUGAAAUGUUUUCAUAUAAUCUCAUGGGAUUCUAACAGCAGUUUUCUGAAGCAUUCAGUGUAAGAGGAACCGUAUUUUCCACAGGAUGGACAUAAGUCUCUAAGAAGGACACAUAGAAGGGAAAGAUCUGUGCUGCUGGACUGCAAUUCAUCUAAAAGAGAAGGAAAUAACUCUCUAGUGGAUAUGAACUGUGAAGAAGAAUGAUGAUGCUAUUCUGUGUUCCCUGACUUUGUACCUGGAGAAAUAACAGGACUUGAUCAAUGAAAAUGUUUGGAGCAGGGGAUCUGGAUGAUGAAGAGGUGUUUUGUUGUCUCAUAUCACAGGAAAAAGAAGGUUUAGCAGCACACUAUAGAAUAUUUUGAGAAAGACCACUGCAUGUAACUUUUUAAAAGAAAUG